RNAcentral lists this ribosomal RNA (366 nucleotides) under uncultured organism. Its description in RNAcentral is "bacterial SSU rRNA". It matches the Rfam family "Bacterial small subunit ribosomal RNA", at positions 526 to 896 of the family's 1533-position model. The record is from RNAcentral.
CGGAGGGUCCAAGCGUUAUCCGGAAUCAUUGAGUUUAAAGGGUCCGUAGGCGGUUUAGUAAGUCAGUGGUGAAAGCCCAUCGCUCAACGGUGGAACGGCCAUUGAUACUGCUAAACUUGAAUUAUUGGGAAGUAACUAGAAUAUGUAGUGUAGCGGUGAAAUGCUUAGAGAUUACAUGGAAUACCAAUUGCGAAGGCAGGUUACUACCAAUAUAUUGACGCUGAUGGACGAAAGCGUGGGGAGCGAACAGGAUUAGAUACCCUGGUAGUCCACGCCGUAAACGAUGGAUACUAGCUGUUCGGAGCAAUCUGAGUGGCUAAGCGAAAGUGAUAAGUAUCCCACCUGGGGAGUACGUUCGCAAGAAUG